Molecule: ribosomal RNA, 253 nt
Filed under: uncultured bacterium
Lineage: Bacteria
Description: partial 16S ribosomal RNA
Rfam family: Bacterial small subunit ribosomal RNA
Source: RNAcentral
UACAGAGGUCUCAAGCGUUGUCCGGAUUCAUUGGGCGUAAAGGGUGCGUAGGCGGCGAAGCAAGUCGGAUGUGAAAUCCCGGGGCUUAACCCCGGAACUGCAUUCGAUACUGCCUUGCUAGAGUACUGGAGAGGAGACUGGAAUUUACGGUGUAGCAGUGAAAUGCGUAGAUAUCGUAAGGAACACCAGUGGCGAAGGCGAGUCUCUGGACAGUUACUGACGCUGAGGCACGAAGGCCAGGGGAGCAAACGGG